This 338-nucleotide long non-coding RNA is filed under the name Lathyrus oleraceus (garden pea). Its description in RNAcentral is "Pisum sativum (pea) long non-coding RNA (PSAT_LNC018027)". The record is from RNAcentral. Lineage: Eukaryota; Viridiplantae; Streptophyta; Magnoliopsida; Fabales; Fabaceae.
GGGUAUACUUUCUUCUUUUUUCUAAAAAAUUUUUUUGAUUUUUUUUUAUUUUUUUCUUUUAUUUUUCACCCCCUCUCUUUUUUUUUUAACAUUACAUUUGUAAUGCCCCAGUUUGACUGUUUUGCUGAUUCUUAUGAUACAGCUGAAUGAGCUUCUUUUCGUGCUCAAGAAAAUGGGUAAUCUCGUCAGGAAUCCCCUUCAACAUCAUCUUCCUCUGCCUAAAAUACAAGGAAUUCAAAAUUGGGAGAUGGCGUUGGAUCAUUAUGUUCAAUGGGUUUAGAAAUCCCUGCAUAAUGAUUUUGGAUAAUGAAAAAGCUUUUGAAUUUAAACAAGCAAAU